AUGUGUUCAUGUUCAAUUAAAAAAAAAUUGGAAUGAUAGAAAAGAUUGGCACAACCCCUAAACAAGGAUGACAUGUAAAUUCGAGAAACAUUCCAUACUUUU
Molecule: small nuclear RNA, 102 nt
Organism: Marmota marmota marmota (Alpine marmot)
Lineage: Eukaryota; Metazoa; Chordata; Mammalia; Rodentia; Sciuridae
Source: Ensembl